UCAAAAGCUCCCCUACUGAGCACCUUGUGACCCCCACUCUGCCCGCCAGAGAACAACCCCCCUUUGACUGUAAUUUUCCUUUAUCUACCCAAAUCCUAUAAAACGGCCCCACCCUUAUCUCCCCCUUCACUGACUCUCUUUUCGGACUCAGCUCGCCUACACCCAGGUGAUUAAAAGCUUUAUUGCUCACACAAAGCCUGUUUAGUAGUCUCCUCCACUGACGCGCAUGAAAUUUGGUGCCGUGACUCGGAUCAGGGGACUUCCCUUAGGAGAUCAAUCCCCUGUCCUCCUGCUCUUUGCUCCGUGAGAAAGAUCCACCUAUGACCUCAGGUCCUCAGACCGACCAGCCCAAGAAACAUCUCACCAAUUUCAAAUACGGACCCCACUGAAAACUGGACUGUUCAACUCACCUGGCAGCCACUUCCAGAACUCCUGGAACUCUAGCCCAAGGCUCUCUGACUCUUUCCCAGAUCUUCUCGGCUUAGCAGCUGAAGACUGACACUGCCGGAUCGCCUCAGAAGCCUGCAGGACCAUCACAGACACUCUAGGUAACUCUCACAGUAGAAGAGUUGCAGGGUGUUUAAGUUUGAAGAUACUGCCUGAUCCAUCAUUUCACAGAGAAAGAAGCUGAGGUUCAGAGGAGAAUCUUGGAGAAGUUGCUGUUCCAGGUCUUGCAAGAUUGAAAACCUAAUCAUUGGAACUGCACCAAUUCGCCCGUCUUCGUGUUCAGAAGAUCUCUUCCUGUGCUCUCAGAGGAGGACGGGCCAUGGAAGGAGUUGGGACUUUCCCCCUUUUGACCCUUGGCACCUUCAUCAGAACUUAGCCUGGGACUCCUUUCUCCGCUGACCUGGGGCAGCCAGUCUUGCAACCAAAGCCCUCUACUGAAACGCUCCGUGCAGCCCUGUCUACUGAGGGCUCAGGAUCUUCACCUUGCUACUUGACCAGUCCUGGGACUCCAUCCUCAGCUCACUACAGGCAACACCCUUCAAAGCAAGAUCCUUGCUUCAAUGGGACCUCAGAUUUGGACAUUCAGGUUUCUGGGGCUCCACUAUGCACAGCUGGGGCUUCCCCCACCAGACCAAGAUUCUCCUUUCCCUGAGACCCUCCAGGCCGAAAUGACAGUCACCUCAACCUGACAGCUCUUCCUGAGCUUCCCAAGUCACAGGAGAGGCUUUUGGUUUUGGACCAUGAGAAUGGCUUACAUAUUCAAAAGGUGGGAUUUGGGAAGCAAUGCUAAGCAGUGGAAUGGACAUCGACAUAGAGAGAUCAGCUCCACACUUAUACUCUGCCACUCAACUUCCCCAUGUGACUUGAGGAUCACUCUGACUCCAAAACAUAGCAAGCUCGCGGAACAUCAUUCAUGCAAAGUAUUCCAAGGAGCCCCUUGAAGCAACAGAAUGGAUUUCUCUUCUAUGGUGGAAUGGCACCCUGGAUGAUUAAAACCGUAGCAGCAAACAAAACCUCCAUCAAAUAUUCCUGAAAACAAAGUCAAGUUAUAUUUCUACAGUACUAGCGUCUGCUUAAAGAAAUGACAAGGUGAAGUCUUUCACAAACCUCUAGAUUUAUGUGCCAGUCUUCAGGAAAUAUGGUGAUAGAAGAACCUGCUAAAUGAUGCUAUAAGGAUACAAUCAGCCAAAUUCUGAAUUGGAAAAUCCUACACGAAUAAUUACCCCAUUUUUUUUCAACAAAUGUAUGGCAUAGAAAAUGAGAGAAUGGUUAUAGACUGACUGAAAGACAUAUCAACCAAAUGCAACGUGUAGGCUCCUUUUGGAUUUUGAGUCAAACCAAACAACAAUAAAAAGAUAUUUGUGAAAUAAAUAUUGAAGAAAAUCAAAUAUAAAUGUACUAUUGGUGAUAUCAAGGAAUUAUUUUUAAUGUAUUGAGUGUGAUAAGGGUAUUGCGGCUAUGUGUUUCUUAAAAGACCUUGUUUAUAAAAGACACAUGCUAAAGUAUUUACCAGUGAAAUAAUAUAACAUCUAGUAUUUGCUUUAAAGUAUUGACAUAUUCAUAUAUCACUUGUGCAAUUAAAAAUAAGUUAAAAUGCAUUGCAAACAAUUUUCUGUUGUGGUAUGUUCAGAACAUAGCAAAUAAAUGAAAGAAAUCCCAUUUACUAAGC
This is a long non-coding RNA of Pan troglodytes (chimpanzee), 2116 nucleotides long. RefSeq lists it as uncharacterized. The transcript is spliced from 13 exons. The record is from RefSeq and is a predicted model, not a curated record. Lineage: Eukaryota; Metazoa; Chordata; Mammalia; Primates; Hominidae.